UAUGUUUUUGAAAUUUUUAUAUAAUUAUAGGUUAAAUUUUAAUUAUUUAAAAUGUAUAGUUAUAAUUUUAAAUUUUGUUAAUCGAAUUAGAUUAGUACCUAAUUAGUCAAAAGUUAAAAAAGCAGAAGUAAAGUAAAAUUUAAACUGAAAGAAUAUUGGCAGAUUUUCUAAAUUAUCUUUGGAGGUUGAGUAAUAAUUGAGAACCCUCAUUAACUACUUUUUUAGUUGUCUCAUGUAUGAUCGUUUAUUAUAUGCUUAAGGGAUAUAAUUAAAAAUUUUUAUUUAAAAAAAUAGAUAUAUAUUUGGUUUAUAUAAAAGUAAUAUUUGACCUACAGUAAUUUGUAAUUGUGGAUCUAUUUUUUAGUAAAGUAGUGAAAAUGUAAAAGACAGUAAAAAAAUUUUUAUGAUUUUUUGAAGAUUA
This 421-nucleotide ribosomal RNA is filed under the name Uncinaria lucasi. RNAcentral describes it as "partial 12S ribosomal RNA". Lineage: Eukaryota; Metazoa; Nematoda; Chromadorea; Rhabditida; Ancylostomatidae. The record is from RNAcentral.